Long non-coding RNA from Haemorhous mexicanus (house finch), 1366 nucleotides. RefSeq lists it as uncharacterized. The transcript is spliced from 3 exons. The record is from RefSeq and is a predicted model, not a curated record. NCBI's taxonomy places the organism in Eukaryota, Metazoa, Chordata, Aves, Passeriformes, Fringillidae.
GCGGGCCCGGCACGGGAUCCCCCGCUCCUCCCUAAAUCCCCUGUGUACCUACGGAGCGAUAACCGAGCUCUGCUCCUCCCUAGGAAAACAACCGGAGCUUCCCACAGGAGCUGUUUGCAGACAACGCUGUAAUUCCGCUUCCCCGCACCGCUCCUUGUACCCAGCAAAUGUAAGGGCAGCCUAAAGCCAGAGGGCUGGGAUAAAAGUUGGAUUUCUCACUGUCCAGAGAAUGCUGCAGCUGCACACUGGCACGGACUUUGCUCCUCUGGGCUGGGAUUUCUAAGCAGCGGGAGGCUUUCCACGUGUGUUUGAGAAGGUCCCCAAGCACAGGAUCGCCUUCAUUUCCCGCAGGACUGGAUCCCCUCAGCCCCGCCAGUCAGUGGAUCUCCUCAGAAAACUCUGAGACAAGCUCCCCUCAUCCUCCCCAGCACAGGCUCCCCUUAGCCCCCCAAACACGGGAUCCCCAAGACUGGAUCCCUUCAGCUCUCUCUGGCCAAGCCCCCUCCAGCCCCUCCUCAGCGGGCACAGCCGGAGGGGCCAGGGUGCAGCAGCCUCCAUUCCCCCGUCCCUCCCUCCCUGCCUGCUGCGUGCUGCAGCCCGCCUUCCCCCCGCCCUGCCGCGCUCCCCCCGCUCGCCGCCCGCGGUGAUCCGCGCUGAGCUCACGGCCGCGCCUCACGACACCCCGGCUCGGCACGUCAGCCCCGCCAUCGCGUGAGAGCCGCCGCCCGCCGCCGCCCCCCCGCCCGCCGCCAUCACGCACGGCGGGAACAGCUGCCGGCACGGCGCGGCCAGACCCCGCUCCCAGACCCCGCUCCCAGCCAAGGCGGGCUCUCGCCAGCUCCUAUUAAUGCAGAUCUUAAUUAAUGACCCCCGCGGGGGGCGAGCCGCCCUUCACACGCAACACGCACUCCCCCCGUUCGCCCGCGUCUGGCGUGGAAGCACGAAGAGGUUAAAAUGGAGGCGGGGGCGUGAGGCGGCUGCCAAGGCGGGAUUAGCGCGGCUCGGAGCUCGGCACGCAACGCGGGACGGGGCACGGCGGCCACACGCGAGGGACCCGCGGUGACACGCGUGGCACCGCCGUGCAAAGCCGGGGGGAGAAGAAGGGCGCCAGGAGCCCGAACGGGCACACGGUGUCCUCCGUCUUCCCUCCGGCUUUGCAUCCCUCUGUUGAGACAGCACUUACCCAUUUUUCAUUCCCCCCCACCAUGCAAUUUUCCUUUUUUUCCAAUAAAGCUUUUGUUUCUGUCCCCUAAAAUUCACUACUUUCUUCAAUCCAACCCCCCUUUUCUCCCCUAUUCGUCUCCCAACCUUACUGAUGCUUCACCUCAGAGAUGGGUCGCGCAUAAAUUAAAGUCACCUAGGUUUU